UACGGGGGGAACGCGAAGAACCUUACCAGGUCUUGACAUCUUUUGAUCACCUGAGAGAUCAGGUUUCCCCUUCGGGGGCAAAAUGACAGGUGGUGCAUGGUUGUCGUCAGCUCGUGUCGUGAGAUGUUGGGUUAAGUCCCGCAACGAGCGCAACCCUUAUGACUAGUUGCCAGCAUUUAGUUGGGCACUCUAGUAAGACUGCCGGUGACAAACCGGAGGAAGGUGGGGAUGACGUCAAAUCAUCAUGCCCCUUAUGACCUGGGCUACACACGUGCUACAAUGGAUGGUACAACGAGUUGCGAGACCGCGAGGUCAAGCUAAUCUCUUAAAGCCAUUCUCAGUUCGGACUGUAGGCUGCAACUCGCCUACACGAAGUCGGAAUCGCUGUAUCGCCCU
This 396-nucleotide ribosomal RNA is filed under the name uncultured Lactobacillus sp. RNAcentral's name for it is "bacterial SSU rRNA". It matches the Rfam family "Bacterial small subunit ribosomal RNA", at positions 950 to 1335 of the family's 1533-position model. Lineage: Bacteria; Bacillati; Bacillota; Bacilli; Lactobacillales; Lactobacillaceae. The record is from RNAcentral.